Molecule: regulatory RNA element, 54 nt
Organism: Astyanax mexicanus (Mexican tetra)
Lineage: Eukaryota; Metazoa; Chordata; Actinopteri; Characiformes; Acestrorhamphidae
Rfam family: UnaL2 LINE 3' element
About the family: The eel long interspersed element (LINE) UnaL2 and its partner short interspersed element (SINE) share a conserved 3' tail containing a stem-loop that is critical for their retrotransposition.
Source: Rfam
UAGAAAUAACCUUGUAAGUCACUCUGGAUAAGAGUGUCGGCUAAAUGCCGUAAA